AAUGCACUUGCUUCAUAACCUGAAAAUAUUGCCAGAAUCCAAGAUUUGGUCCUGUGCUCACAUAGAUGAUUGGAUGGGUCUGAAAUUUGGAGGAGUCUCAUAAUAUGAUCACAUGAAGGAGUGUGCAAAAUUUUAACUCAUUUUGGUAAACCUAGCUAGUACUUCCUUCACAAUGCCUUCUGUCUGACAGAAAGUUUGAAAAAUUGCUAAGGAAGAUUGGCUAGGCAAAUAAAGUUGAAUUUUGGCAUGAGGCAAUGAUUUGGACAUGAAAAAAUGCCCAACAAGUUUGGGAGCAAUCAGGAAAGGAUAGGUGGCACUUCCUUCACAGAAAGCCACACUCGACAGAAAUGAAGAAUAAUUAUUGGGGAAUUAUUCUUGGGCUAGGACAGGAAAGUUUGGGCAUAUUUGAGCAACAUAUGACCCAAAGGAAUUAUGAGAAUUAUUUGGGAAUUUUUGGAUGGACAGAAAUAUAGGUUGCUUCACAACCUAGGGCAGACAUGGUUAUUCCUUUAAUAGAAAAGGGAAUAUUCCUGAGAAAAAGAAAUUAGGGUUUGGUCAAGCAGUGAAGUGACAUGAUCUUGGCAAGGUUUUGAGAAUGAUGAGCCACGUGCGAGGGGGAAUGAGGAUGAUUUCCCAGGUGGCAAGGCCACAGAACCACUCAAAAAAAGAAAAACAGAGCAAAAACCAAUAAAUUAAAAGAAAAAGAAAAGGGCCAAAAUCCAGGCUGUUACAAACCUUCCCCCCCUUAAAGAAAUCUCGUCCUCGAGAUUUGGUUGCUCAGGGAACAAGUAUGACUUUAGGACACCGUUUCCUGCUCGGGUAUCCUUUUUCCUUUAGUUAUUGUUCCCCCAAGAAUUUCAGAUGAUUAACUUACCUUGCUCUGGGGUGGCUUGCUUCACUUUUCCCCAGAUUCUGAUGGGUCUUUGCUCAUAUACCAAUUCCUUUUUACUGGCGUUGAUUCUCCUUACCUGGGGUGAUAUCCAAUGGAUCUCAGCAUACAUUUUCUUUUUGGUCAUGAAAACCGUUUUACUUCUGUCAUGGGGUUGCUUCAAAUAAAUACAGGCCUUCUAUUUUCAAUAAAUGCUGAGAAUUCAUCAUGGCCAUCUUCUGACGGAAUCUGACUGCUCAUAAGUGGUAAUGAUUUAUUUUGAUUUAUUUGUUUGGCUCAAUCAUGGGAUAUCUACCAAAGAUUUGACUCCCUUCUGUCGUGCGAAAUAUAACAGGGUAUAUACUUAUAACUGUAGCAUACCUCAAUUAUUAACAUCUUGAGACUGUCCUGGCAGGUAUGCUGGUGGGAAGAUACUUUUCAUGACAGGUUGUCCGGGUACUAGGUUACACCAGUGGAUAUACCUGGUCUGAGCUGAUUGUUCUAUUUUUGAUUUACCCAUGUUGUCGGUAUACCCAGAUGUGGUAAUAAGCUGUGCGAUGCUUUAUACUGUCGCUGAAGUCAGACUGCUGAGGUUGCAAAAGAAUCUUGGACUGGACCGAACAGAUUUGGAUAUUCCGCACUAACCAUUUUUAAGCGGGUCAGCAGGAUAUGAAGUUCUUGUAGAGCAGAGUAAUCCAUUGAGGGUAUGCCUUUGUGGCUCCAUAUGUAAUCUGGCCACUAACUGACUUGGGUAUCCGGACCCUGAUGGUCGUGCCAAAAAUCAUCAUACCUUUGCUAUCAGUCUCACCCUUUAACGGUCAUGUUUUUCUUUGUCAGGAUAUCUUACUGAAAUAGGGUGGCCACAUAUAUCCUUGAUUCUUCGUAUGACCAGGGACGUGAUUAGUGCAAUAUUUUUGACAUUAUCCCUUAUGCCUGUUUUCUGACCUGGGUCCUCACACAUGUGACAUAUACCGGGGUUUGUAGCUGUACGGAGCUCAUUGUUGAGGCCAAUCGUACAAGAAGGUGACAAGGUUUUAGGACAACUCCUUGUGAGUUGCGGGAAUAAUGACCUUGAUGACCAUUGUCAAGACUGUUGAUUCUGUGAUGUCAUCCCCAGAUCUUGUCGAUUCUUGUAAUUUAUGAGAUGUAUCUCUGCUUAUUUUCCUUUGCCUGGCUCGUGAGGUUGUGGGAUCCUUACUUUCCUUAGGUAUAUCUGUUGGAUCCUUGCCGCAUUUCGUAUGAGUGUCUGAUAUGACUGGGGAUGCAUGCUCACCAUAUAUAAGAACCAUAUGCGACCAAACACUUGAUUCUUGAAGAAGACACAUGCCCUGACUGAUUUGUGCUUCCAACAAAAAUGUUGCGAGUCUAAUUCUUGAGCGGUACUGCCAUACAUUGGCAACUCAUAAUAUAACCUCUGAGGAUGGUGUAUUGUGUUGUACUGAUGGGGGCUGGGUGGCUUACUAGAGAAGCCAUCCGAGUAACUUCCUGAGGAAGACUUGUUAACUUCUGCUCAAACCUUUUGUAUGGGUAUCGUGCAGAAAAAGGCUCUAUAGCUUACACACGAACUUGGUCUGAUUAUUGUGCUGGAGAAGCCUGAGUUCCGUACUUGAGAAGCUUCUCGUCGGGUUUGGUUGUUGAGAAAAAUUCAUUUUCGUCUGUCAGAAGCUUUUACCGAGGUAUCUUGCUGAGAAAGACCGGGUAUCUUGGACCGGAAAUUGUUCACAUAUCAUGCUGAGGAAAAUUGAGGAGCCUUGCACCAUAAAUUUCUUCUGAUAACGUGUGGAAGAAGACCGAGUUUCUUACGUCCAAAGCUUCAUACUAAUAUGCAGACUGAAAUCUACACACAUGCCCAUACUAUUCUGUGGCUGAUCAUUUGCAUGAGAAAAUUUGUUUGACUGUCUUCCUUGAGCAUAUCACAUUCUGACUUUAUUUUGGAUGAUAACAUAUUUCAAGCAUCAUGCAUUGCUGAGCCAAAAUUUUGUAUAUGAUCCAUACAUUUGACUGAAAAUAUACCGUUGAUCUUGUAGCUGACUCCUCUUGCUGCUGACUUGAUCAUUACUGCUGUGAGGAUUUUGUACUGAUGUGGACUUGAGUUAUCAGUACUGUUGUGAGGAGUGCACACUAAUGCAAAAUUGAUUAUCAGCCUCAAAAUCAGAUUUUCCCAUUUCAUUACAGUCAGCUGAGAAUUCCAUUCUGUUUAGCUGAGUUUCCAAAUAUUUGAACUCCUUGCUGAUUCUUCGGGUCCGGUGUCAGUUGAUGAGCAACUCUUUAUAGGGGGGAAAUAAUGUAACACCGGGGCCCAAAAAGAAAGAAGCAAAAGAAAACUCAACCAAACAAAAGCACACAACAACAAACAAUACACACUCAAACAAAGUCACACAGUACUGCUAGUCACACAAUAUGCAUGCCUACUUAAGCACACAAAUCUCGCGGGAUCUCCGGUUCUACGAUCUAGCAUGCUGUGACGAUGUGCAAGAGGACGAAUAAAUGUGUGGAAGAAUUGGUGUAAACCGCGCUACACCAAGUGCUAGCUUAGCCAGGUAGCAACCUGGACUAGCUCGGAGGCGAGGACACACUCGGUAAUCAUGUAGUGGGACAUGAAGGUCGCAACCACAUUAUUAUCAAGUGGACGGAAAAAGGUCCGUACUCGUCCAAGAAAUAGGAUAGCGGGGAAAAACUGAGGCCGCUGACAUUGCCCUUUCUUGAUAACUAAGAUCAUUAAGGGUUGCCAACACGACAAAAUGAAAGAGCGAUUCGGGCUAGAAGCAUGUCCAUCACCGAAACCAUAGGCGGGGCUGAAAGGAAUCGGUGUGAUGCCUGAGCACCAUUUUUUUGCAAAUAGUGUCAGGAUCACUUGGCAUCAUUCUGCUGGGACAGAAAUGACACCAAACACCGAAGAACGAGCAAGAAAAGAAAACUAGAGAAAUGCAAAGGCUGACCUGUAGUGGGUCCGAACAGAUGCCAGCUACACUCACCAGAUAAACCAUUAGCAACAAAUACUAAGGCUAUAUGCAUGCUAUGCAACAAACAAAUGCAGCAACCAAAUGCAAUAAACAAGCCAGACUUUAAACUAUUGAUUUCUACCGGUUUCUACCACUCGCCCUGACUAGGGCGUCCUACAGCCAGACCUGCUCUGAUACAAAGCCUUGUGGCACCCCGGCUCAGAGAAACCGGAACGCCCCGUAUUCUAGUACAGAGAUCGAGGAGAAGUCUUCUGGAAUACGACACUGCUUAGCAUAGAACAAACCAGCUUUCUAUUAUUACACGAAUAUAAAUACAAGGUCUCCGAUAUUACAAUGAAUAACAUCGGCACGGCGACACUACGCCAUCCUCAGUUGCUCUAUGCAAGCAGCAGAACAACUCGAAGCAGCGGAAAAACUUCUAGCAGCGGAACAACGACGACGGUGGUGAACUCCACUCCGCAGGGACUCUGGCUGGAAUGCUUAUCCUAGCUCGCACGAACGGAAACCACGACAAGCAAUCAAGCAAUCACGGCAUGACCUGCAAACUGGCAUGACACGCCAGGUCAGUACAUUGAAUGUACUUGCAAGCUCACAAUAACCAGAAGCAUUCAAGACAAACAACAUCAUGGCAAUUACAGGUUAAGCAGGCAUUAUCAUGAGAUCCUUAGGAUAACCUGGCAUGAACACCAUGAACAUGAUACAACUAGAACAAUAGGAGCAUGGCAUGAACAUAUAAAUCUGACGAUACUAGCAUGCAACAUGAUGACACUAUAUGCACCACUUAUUUUGCUCGGGUUACCUUGUAACCAUCACAUGGAUCACUUACCAACCUCGGACAUCACCCAAUCAUCUCAGGAUCAAAUCAAGCUUGGUAUAAACAAUACCGUAGUAAUCAUUAAAUGACCACAAGGAGCUUGAUCUUUACCCACGAUUCUCGCACAACAUCAUGAAUAUCCAACAACUCGGUAUCCUUGAUACCACGGUGAUCAUUCACGGAUCACAAACGGAACCACUCCUGGCUCAACGGGUUACCUCGUAACCAGACGGUGAUCAUUCACGGAUCACAUAACCAACGUAUCUCAUCAUCGAACCAGGGUUGUUAUUAAGCAAGUUAUUAUUAAUACUGUUGACCCAUAGUGUGACCGACACGAACUGGGCCCUUAUCCGCGGGCACGGCUAUCGAUAGAUUUAAUAUACACUCUGCAGAGGUUAGUACACUGUACCCACACCACGGAACCCAUGGCCUCUCGCUCCCAUUCGGGUGGACCAACGGCAUUCCGACAAAACCGUCCUACUGCCAUGACACUCUCCCGGCCAGUCCGACUCACUCCCCACUAGGCUAAGUCCUGGGUGGCCCCUUGCCUACCAAAGACACCAACGGCCACCGUCGUGGCAAAACGGCCACCAUUGUGGCAAAACGGUCCCAAACAGCGACAAUCCGGAUAUAAGAACAACGGCCACACAAGGUUAUGUCUCCUUACCGGGCCAGGGUACCGUACGCCCAUAACCUUCCCUCGUUGGAGGCACCAGCGAGAGGCACGACAAUAGACCCAGUUAGGACCUUCCCAUAAAGGCAAGCGUGGUUGCACUGGUCAGCUUGAUAUGGUGGCACCAUGACUCAGCCAACAGUUAUUCAAGUUCAAUUUAAUCCGGUUAAACUUGAAUGCAAAUAUGCUGAGCCAUGAUAAAAUAACAUGAUGCAAAUUACAAUUUAUGAACAUGACAUCAACAUAAGCAUGGAGGUGCAACAUAACUAUUAACCAUAUCAACAAUGAAUUAUAUCCAACUGAGAAUGGCAUACUGACUAGCAUGAACAUCACAAGUACAUACUUCUCAGAAACAUAGCAUGACCACUAGCAUCGACAAUAAAUAUCAUGCAAGAACAUAUCAACAAUGCCAUCAUGCAAGCAUUUAACCAACUGGUGCAAUCGAACAUGCAUAACAACGGUACUCGGGACAGACGGCAGUCAUGCACCGAAGACCAUCACCAACAUCAAGAUGUACUACUAGCAAGCAUAAGCAUACAAAAGGAAUACUAGCAACUAGCAGGGCAUGAUAACUAGAUGCAUAACAACAUAGCAAGAAAGUAAGCACUAACCCAGAAGCAUUACCGAAACAACGAUAACCAUAUUUUAAACUAGCAAACAUUUAAUAAAUAUUCAAGUUGAAAACCAUGGCUAAUGCAUGACUAUCAUGCAAGUGGAUAUUGUGGCUUGCCUGGGGUGGAAGAAAUCACCAGGACAAAGUGCGAGAAGCUUGCGGAAAGAAUCGCCGGAAAACGUUCUCUCUCGAAGGGGGCUGAUUUAGCAUAAAGGCAAAAUGGUCAUUUUCAGAAUGUUAAAACAUGGUGAAAAUUAUACCAACAGAACGGGCUCGACGAAACGAAGAAGUGGGCUUUGGAAUCACCUCAAUCGGAGUGUCGAGCAAAAAGUUAUAGCCCGACAAAGUUCAGGGACCAAUUUGUAAAAAUAUCUCUACAAACAGGCCCCUGGAGGAUAAAACAGAAAACGUAUUUCAAAUAAUACGCUUUCAGAACUGAGAAGCGUAUUUGUAGCCGAAGACGAAAGAAAGUACGCUUUUGGAAGUGGAAAAUGUAUUCUGUUCUAAAGAAGAGCAGAAGUACGUUUUCACUAACUGAAAGCGCACUUCAGGGAAACACGUUUCCACUGACUGACGUGGCGGGGCGGGGUCAACACUGAGGCGCUGACAGAGGGGGCCCGUGCGUAGGGGGAGGGGCCAGCUGGGUGUCGUCUUCCUCCUCGCUGCUCCCCCGAUGGGAAACAGAGGAGCGGGAGGCAGGGCGAUGCCGGCGAUGGAGCGGCCGACUCCGGCGAUCUCCGGCCAAGUGGAGACCACCGGAGGGCUCGCGGGGGCAUGGCGCAUCCAUCCAGGAAAGAAACAAUGCCGGAGGAGGAGCGGCAUGGGCACGCGGCGACACGACAGAUAAGAACAGAGGUGGCGGUGGUCUUCGCGGCACGACCCUAGAGAGGCUCCGGCGAGAGGGCAAGGGCACGGGGAGGGUCGCCGGAGUGUGGGCAAGGCGAUGGUGGUGGCUAGAGGAGGAGGAUGGCUCGGCAUUGGGCUAAUUUAGGCCGAAGCCGAGGCGGACAUGGCGGCCAUGGAGGAGGAACUGGAGCUCCUCAAGCUCCGUGGAGUGGUCGGGCGGGAUCCGGGGAGUGGUGUGAGGCUGGUGGUGAGCUCAAACGAGACCGGGGAUGGCUAUAUAUCCGGGCGAGGGAGGCCGAGCUCGGGUGUCGCCGCGGGGAUCAAACCAACGCUCUGGCGACGGCCAGCGAGCACGGGGUGGCACGUGAUCAUGACGAGGGAGAAGCGGACGAGCCACAGAGGCGCACAGGGCAGGAGGGGCGCAGGGGCGCAGGGGAGAAGCGGCCGAACGCCUUAACUGCUCGGUUGGCCACAGUGCGCCCGUGGGCGCGCAGCGACAAGCGCUGACGGAGGGGCUUAUGGAGGGGGAGAUGGCUCCAGGAGGACGGCGACGACGCGGUAAAACUGUUAGACAUGCUCAUGAGCGCGAAGACGAGGAGAGGGGGAGGGGCCUGAGCAAGAAGAUGCCCUGGACGCGGCCAACGCCAGCAGAGCACGCGCAUUGCAUGCCAAAGCUCGUGGUCACCGCAUGCACUGGUGCACACAGUGCCACACAGCCAGCCAAACGAUGUCUGGGGGUUUGUCCUUCCUGGGUAGGUUGCAACUGAGGUGGUAGCUUGGUUAAAGACGCAGUGGUUAAAUGGUAAGUGAGCUGUGAAGUUUAUUGCAGUAAACUUGGCCAAGAACUGCUGAUCAACAGGAAAGGGAUUGGAGCCAGAGAGUUUGUCUGGGGUGAUCAGCUUAGGAAGGACUAUAAUCCUGGAGGUUUUGGAGCAUAAUGGAGCACGAACUAAUAUAGUUGAUGUGUAACCCCAAAAUUGGUCCAGAAUCAAGAUUUGGAUGAUGCACUCGCAUGGUGUGGCCACUUGGGCUGAAAUUGGGCAAGGCAUCAUGAUUUGGUCAUAAUAGUAUGCUGUAUAAAUUUUAUACCAAAUGGAUUCACCAAAAUGGUAGUUCCUUGAUAGCUAUUCCCUAUCCAGAAACUUGCUAGAAUUUUGGAGAAAUAUUGGCUAAGUUAAAUGGUGCCAAAUUUGGUGGAGAGAUGUUAUUUGGGUAGGAGAAUAAUCUGGUAUUUUCUCAGAAUUAAUGAAGCAAUAUAAAAUGUACUUGCUUCACAACCUGAAAAUAUUGCCAGAAUCCAAGAUUUGGUCCUGUGCUCACAUAGAUGAUUGGAUGGGUCUGAAAUUUGGAGGAGUCUCAUAAUAUGAUCACAUGAAGGAGCGUGCAAAAUUUCAACUCAUUUUGAUAAACCUAGCUAGUACUUCCUUCACAAUGCCUUCUGUCUGACAGAAAGUUUGAAAAAUUGCUAAGGAAGAUUGGCUAGGCAAAUAAAGUUGAUUUUUGGCACGACGCAAUGAUUUGGACAUGAAAGAAGGCCCAACAAGUUUGGGAGCAAUCAGGAAAGGAUAGGUGUCACUUCCUUCACAGAAAGCCACACUCGACAGAAAUGAAUAAUAAUUAUUGGGGAAUUAUUCUUGGGCUAGGACAGGAAAGUUUGGGCAUAUUUGAGCAACAUAUGACCCAAAGGAAUUAUGAGAAUUAUUUGGGAAUUUUUGGAUGGACAGAAAUAUAGGUUGCUUCACAACCUAGGGCAGACAUGGUUAUUCCUUUAAUAGAAAAGGGAAUAUUCCUGAGAAAAAGAAAUUAGGGUUUGGUCAAGCAGUGAAGUGACAUGAUCUUGGCAAGGUUUUGAGAAUGAUGAGCCACGUGGGAGGGGGAAUGAGGAUGAUUUUCCAGGUGGCAAGGCCACAGAACCACUCAAAAAAAAAAC
RNAcentral lists this long non-coding RNA (8707 nucleotides) under Triticum aestivum (bread wheat). Its description in RNAcentral is "long non-coding RNA (TAES_LNC018097)". Lineage: Eukaryota; Viridiplantae; Streptophyta; Magnoliopsida; Poales; Poaceae. The record is from RNAcentral.